RNAcentral lists this transfer RNA (75 nucleotides) under Mesocricetus auratus (golden hamster). It matches the Rfam family "tRNA". From Rfam's summary of the family: Transfer RNA (tRNA) molecules are approximately 80 nucleotides in length. Their secondary structure includes four short double-helical elements and three loops (D, anti-codon, and T loops). The record is from Rfam by way of RNAcentral. Lineage: Eukaryota; Metazoa; Chordata; Mammalia; Rodentia; Cricetidae.
AUUAGGGUGGCAGAGCUCGGAAAUUGCGUGAGACUUCAAACCUUGUUCUCAGAGAUUCAAAUCCUCUCUCUAAUA